RNAcentral lists this long non-coding RNA (466 nucleotides) under Hordeum vulgare. RNAcentral's name for it is "long non-coding RNA (HVUL_LNC008429)". The record is from RNAcentral. Lineage: Eukaryota; Viridiplantae; Streptophyta; Magnoliopsida; Poales; Poaceae.
UACACAUUGCCGCAUGCAUGUCACAAGAAUAUUUUAUUAUUGAAUCUCAUCGCCGGCCAUUGAUUGACGUGAUGGGUACCAGCAACAAUCACUUUUAAUCACAAAUAAAGCAGUAACAAUAUUGCUGAGUUUCACCAACCCUACAAUAAGCUCUAUAGACGUGUUCUGCCCAGGAAUUCCGGCAUGAUCUUCGGCAAUCUAAUGCUGAGCAUUCAGCGGCUGUAAAGGCAAUUACGUUCACGCAAUCAUCUGUAGACAAGAACAUGCAUCAAUGAGGGAUGUCCAAAUUGACAAACGUUGCAAAGAAAUUCAUGCAGGUCAGCUGAAAAUAUAGACACAUAGAAGAAAAGAGAUCAAUUUCUUACCAACGUGAAUGGGGUUGCCUAUGCCUAGUUGCACAAUCACCAUAAGGCAAAGGAGAAUGAUUUUCCCCUCCAUCAGAUAAGACACAAACUUCUCCUUCUCG